This 4012-nucleotide long non-coding RNA is filed under the name Mytilus galloprovincialis (Mediterranean mussel). The record is from RNAcentral. Lineage: Eukaryota; Metazoa; Mollusca; Bivalvia; Mytilida; Mytilidae.
GCUGAAUACAUAUUGAACUGGAUUAUAACCAUAUUGCAUAUACGCAUUAUCUACAGAUAUCAGCUUUGUACGAACAAUUUUAAGUUAUAUACUAGUAAAGUACUGGAAGAAAGAAGACGGCGAGUAUGAACAGCAAUUUGAUUCAAGCAUUUUUCUUGUGUAUGUUGUUUCUAGAUAUACACCAAAAUGUUAAUGGUAUGUAUAUAACAUAAUAAAGAAACUGCUUGAAUGUUUAUGCUACCAUUUCAUAUACUUCGUAAUGUAGAUGUUUUUUAUUGGACGCUUGGUGUAGUCGUUCUCUUUCUCAAUUAUUGGAUUGUCAAAGACAUUAUGGAAAGUGUGAACGUAAAACAAAGUUUAUAAAAUGCAGCCUUGAAUAAAAGUUGAUAUUUUGUUUUAAAUUCGACACAAGACCAAAAACAAAAUGGUCGGUUAUUCUUACAUCGAAACAAAGAGUUUUAAUUUUAAUUUAAAUUUUAACUUUAAUUUUGAGUAUAAUUCUCAUUUUAAUUUUGAUUUUAAAUUUUAAAAUUGAUCUUCUUUUAUAUUUGGAUUUUCAACAUAUUUGUAUCGAUAUCGAUCAUCACUGCAUAGAUAUGUUUUUUUAGAAAUGUGCAUUUCUGUAGUAAUAUUCAACUAAUGUUAUAGCCUAUAAAAUUACUUGCUCUUGCCAGAUUUACCAUGAGAACAGAUAUUUUAGACUGAAAUUAUUAAAGAAACAUUUAUAGACAAAGCAAUUUUACUUUAAUAUGAUCUUAUUAUUGGUUCAGUCGUAGUGUAGCAAGUCAUUACAUAAUGCAAACAUUGCGUAUUUCAGUUUUGUAUUAUUAUUACCACAGCAUAAUGACGGGAUGUACAAGUACCAAGCCACAUCAAUUAGACAUUCUCAAAAAAAGACUAAUCAGUAGAAAUAGUAAUUUACAAAGACAAAUACAAGAAUAUUAUAUGUAAUUGAAGGUACCAGGCUUAUAUUUGAUAGGCGCGUUUCGUCUACAUAUAACUCAUCAGUGAUGCUCAUAUCUAAACAGUUAGAAAACCAAACAAGUAUAAAGAUAAAUAGCAUUUAGGAACCUAAAUUCAAAAAGUUGUGCCAUUUACGGCUAAGGUAAUCUAUGCCUGCGAUAACAAAAUCCUCAGUAUUUCGAAUAAUUCACACGACGAUCAUAAGCGGCUAAUAAUUGAUAAUUUCUGUACAUGAAUAACACGUCAUAACGAUGACAAACAACGACAGUACUCAAUCUAUAUACACCAUCAUGCAUGGUGUUUGACGUUGAUACGAAAAAGUUAUCAACAAGGUCUUGAUGAACUUUUUUAGAAAAGGUAGGAGACGGUUUUAGACGUACUUCUAUUAGAAAAAACUUUCUGCUUAGACACUGGUGACGUUUUUCAAAGUCUUAGUAGCAGCUGCAGACUCUUGAAUAGCAACUUAUUACAGAUGUAGACGAGGUGUUGACACUCCGAUAAAUUAAAUUUCUUUCAAAUCUUUGAAAUGUUACAUAAUAACAUCUCUCUACACCUAAACAAAGACUUAUCCAACUGGGAAGUAACAAACAAAAAUAUUUCAAACAUGUUACCUUUUGAAUUUUUUUUUUAAAUAUAAAUACAUGAUAAUGAUUUUUAGAGGGAUGCAUUAGGUACAAGUAUUUAUGCAUUGUGUUUCAUUCUAAAUAUUACGAGCAUCUUCUUGUAAACAGCUUUCAAGUCACCAUAAUCAAAUAUAAUUGAAAUGGAUUAUAAUCAUAAUGCAUUUACACGUCAUAUACACAUAUAUAUAUAUUAGCUCUGUACGGAUAAAAUCAAGUUAUCACUAUUAAGGAACUUGAAGAAAGAGGAGGGCGAAAAUGAACAGCAGAUUGAUUCCAGCUCUUUUCUUGUGUAUGUUGUUUCUUAAUACACACCAGAUAGUAAAUGGUAUGUACUUAAUAUAAUUUAAAAAAAAAUGUUUUCAUUUUAAUACUACCGUUUUAAAGACAUACUUCUUGAUUAGUAUCAAAUUUAAUAAAAAUCAAAUUUGAUAUUUAUGAAUGAGAUGUGAUGUAAACGUCACAAUGCAAAAUUGAUUUGUAUCAUUGUGAUUAGUUAAGCACUUUCAAUUGGUGUUAUAGUUUGUUCAAUGCCAAUGGUUAAGGGUUGGGUAGGUGUCCGCUAACUUAAUUAACUUUGCCCCAAUUCUGUAUGUGUCUUCUCAAUUCUGAAGCCUGUAAUUUAGAGAUUGUCGUUUAUUUCUAUAUAUUUGCUUUUGGUUCAUUAAUUUGUACAUAAUUCAGGACUUUAGUUUUCUCGUUUGUUUUGUUUUUACAUUUGUCAUUUCGGGGCCAUUUUUAUAACUGAAUAAGCGGUAUUGGUUUUACUCAUUUGGGAAGGCAGUACUGUAACAUAUAGUGGUUAAUGUCUGUGUCAUUUGGGCUCUUGUGAAGAGUUGUCUCAUUGACAAUCAUACCACAUCUUCUUAUUUCUAUAUAAUAACAUCAGAAAAGAAAAUCGGAAAAUUUAUAAGAAAAAAAUUACCAUUAGUUCAUGGUUUAAGUAAGUUUGAUCAAGUGUUGACACAUAGAAUGUUAAAGAUCUGUAAUUUGCAAUAUAAAAAUCCCUUCCUCAUUCUAAGCCCCUAGUCCUAUUUUUUAUGUUCUGUUCAAUAAAUAGUGUUUUGUUGUCAGUGAUCUUGGGUUUUCUUUUUGUCACAAGUUAUUUGUUUGAAUUCGAUAGAUGAUUUUUUGUUGGCCGCUGUGUGUCGUCGUUCUCCUUUUUUGUUAUGGGAUUUUCAAAGACACAUGGAAAGUGUGGACGUAAAAAAAUGUUUUUAAAAUGCAGCCUUGAAUCAAAGUUGAUAUAUAUAUAUUUGUUUUAGUUUGACACGGGUAGUAAGAAAAAAAAAGUCGGUUAUACAUUUUGAUAAAAAAAAUUUCCAUAAAUACUAUUUUUUACCUGAUUAAAUCAAAUAUGCAAUAAAAAAUAAACCUUCAUGUGCUACUUUUUGAGUAAAAAGAGGUCGAAAUUUUGUAUAUUUGCUCAAAAGUAGGAUUUGUGGCCGUAUUUUCCCUUUCGAAAGAAAGACAUAACUUUUUUGUUUUAAAAGAUAAACACAAUUUCUUUUUUAUUUUAAAAGAUAAACCCAAUUUCUUUUUUUGUUAAAUAAUUUGUAAUUUCUGUAUUUUAUAAGAAUCCUUAAAAUUCAUACAUUUUUUUUAUCAGAAAUAACUCAUAUUUAUCGAAUGUUCAUGAAUGUAGAAAAAAACAUCAUUUUUUGCUGUAUAUUUAUCAAAUUUAAGAAAAUGCACUAUUUACGUUACGUGCAUCAUGAAAUUUGGCACACAUAAUCUUCUCCCGUAAUCAAACCAAAUGGCAUUUUUCAAAAAGAGGGGUCAAUGAACUCGUUUUCAAGUUAAAUAAGUUUGAAUGAUAAAAAUCAGUCGAAAACUGAAUCUUUUCCCGAUAAUAAAAUUAACGGUACCAAUUUUCUUGCACCAGAUGCGCAUUUCGACAAUACAUGUCUCUUCAGUGAUGCUGGAGUUUGACGUAGCGAAAAUAACAAUUUACGUUAGCAACAUCAUUACCUCCCCUAUAACUGUAUCGUAUACCCUUAAUGUAAUAGCCCAUGAAAAUGUUGACUCUAGCCAUAGUUACAAUUAGAAAAGAUGUUUAUGACUGAAAGUAUCAACGAGCCAUUUAUAAAUCAAGCAAUUUUCUUUCGAUAUGAUCUGAUUAUUGGUUCAGUCGUAGUGUAGCAAGUCCUUACAUAAUGCAAACUUUGCUUACUUCAGUUAACCUUUGAGAUAUAAAUGAAAUAUUUAAGUUAUGAGUAAAAUCUCUUUUUUUAUUGAAAGUAUUACAUAUAGCUAUUAUAGUAAAUAAACGAUAUGCUAUUUUACAUGAAUACAUUUAAAAUAUCGGUGAUCGACGUUACUAUCAUUUUCAGGUUCUGUUAUACCAGUUCAAGAUGGUACCAAUCCAAACACCUGUGUAUGUUCAACGGGAUUAGUUUGUGACGAGGCAACCAACAUGUGCAUUGAAG